UUUGUUUUUUUGUUUUUCCUUGCUGAAUACUUGGGAAAAUUGGUUUGUGUCUGUGGCAAAGGAAUUCAACAAUACUUUCAUUUUCAGGUCAGACUAUUUUAAGAAAAUAGAAGACUAUCAUUUACAGCUGGUAUGGCCCUGUGGUGGUGUGGACCCAGACUUCAAACACAGAUGAAGAUCGAAAACUGAUAUCCCGCAUCUGAUAUCAAAAGUUGAAGAAAGUGAACAAAAACAGCAGAGGAAAGUUCAUAAAAGCAGGAUGAGUUGCAGAAAAACUCCUCAGACACCGGAUUAAAGAAGGAAGAGGUUUUUUAUUUGUCCGGGAGCGUCGGCAGACUCGCGUCUUAAGAGCCGAGCUCCCCGAAAAAGAAAUUCCUAGCCCUUUUAAGGCCUUACAACUCUAAGGAGUCUACGUGAAAGAGUCAUAAUAGAUCAAGUAAGUGUGAGGAA
Molecule: long non-coding RNA, 450 nt
Filed under: Homo sapiens (human)
Lineage: Eukaryota; Metazoa; Chordata; Mammalia; Primates; Hominidae
Description: HSALNT0408490
Source: RNAcentral